Molecule: ribosomal RNA, 486 nt
Filed under: uncultured bacterium
Lineage: Bacteria
Description: partial 16S ribosomal RNA
Rfam family: Bacterial small subunit ribosomal RNA
Source: RNAcentral
AUUGAACGCUGGCGGCAUGCCUUACACAUGCACGUCGAACGGCAGCACGGGUGCUUGCACCUGGUGGCGAGUGGCGAACGGGUGAGUAAUACAUCGGAACAUGUCCUGUAGUGGGGGAUAGCCCGGCGAAGGCCGGAUUAAUACCGCAUACGAUCUACGGAUGAAAGCGGGGGACCUUCGGGCCUCGCGCUAUAGGGUUGGCCGAUGGCUGAUUAGCUAGUUGGUGGGGUAAAGGCCUACCAAGGCGACGAUCAGUAGCUGGUCUGAGAGGACGACCAGCCACACUGGGACUGAGACACGGCCCAGACUCCUACGGGAGGCAGCAGUGGGGAAUUUUGGACAAUGGGCGAAAGCCUGAUCCAGCAAUGCCGCGUGUGUGAAGAAGGCCUUCGGGUUGUAAAGCACUUUUGUCCGGAAAGAAAUCCUUGGCCCUAAUACGGUCGGGGGAUGACGGUACCGGAAGAAUAAGCACCGGCUAACUACGUG